GACUGGAUUGUACUGGACAGGGACUGGAUGGCCAUGUGGUAGUACUGGAUGAUAUAGUGGAGGCACCGAAUUGUACUGUGGUGGUGCCAGGUGAUACGAUGGAGGCACUAGACCAUACUAUGGUGGUGUCAGAUGGUACUGUGGAGGAGCAGGGUUAUACCGGGGUGGCUCAGGAUCCUCCCGCUGCAGGAGUGGCUCAAACUGUUGUAACGGGGGAGGGUCAGGUAGCUCCCUCCUUUCCUCUCGGUCCUGUUGGGCAACAAUGAGUCUCUCU
RNAcentral lists this long non-coding RNA (274 nucleotides) under Carica papaya (papaya). Its description in RNAcentral is "long non-coding RNA (CPAP_LNC009562)". Lineage: Eukaryota; Viridiplantae; Streptophyta; Magnoliopsida; Brassicales; Caricaceae. The record is from RNAcentral.